GGUCAAGGUGUUUCCCUCUCCAAGAGGCUAACUCCUGCCCUGCUCAGGAACAUGGCAACUUGGAAGAAAAGCUGGGGUGACUGCCUCAGGUUUUUGUGGAGCAAGCAAUGAUUAUUUCUUUUGCCCGCCUUUGGCUGUCUACAUAU
Molecule: small nucleolar RNA, 146 nt
Organism: Arvicanthis niloticus (Nile rat)
Lineage: Eukaryota; Metazoa; Chordata; Mammalia; Rodentia; Muridae
Product: small nucleolar RNA SNORA67
Source: RefSeq, a predicted model, not a curated record